RNAcentral lists this ribosomal RNA (273 nucleotides) under uncultured bacterium. RNAcentral's name for it is "partial 16S ribosomal RNA". It matches the Rfam family "Bacterial small subunit ribosomal RNA", at positions 524 to 796 of the family's 1533-position model. The record is from RNAcentral.
GACGAACCGUGCGAACGUUGUUCGGAAUCACUGGGCUUAAAGGGCGCGUAGGCGGCUUACCAAGUCCGGGGUGAAAUUUUGCGGCUUAACCGUAACAGUGCCUUGGAUACUGGUAGGCUCGAGGGAGAUAGGGGUCUGCGGAACUUCUGGUGGAGCGGUGAAAUGCGUUGAUAUCAGAAGGAACGCCGGUGGCGAAAGCGGCAAACUGGAUCUCUUCUGACGCUGAGGCGCGAAAGCUAGGGGAGCAAACGGGAUUAGAAACCCCCGUAGUCC